UAACAGUCCACAAGUCAGUGCCUUAUUUUCAGAGGGUGAUUGGGGUUUGCUGUAGGGUAAGGGCAACUGCCCAUCUGUAGAGCUUCCCAGGUGUUUGGGGUGGGAUGAGAGUGAGGGGGAGCGAUGGUUAAGAGGUAACCUGCCUUCCUUGUUGCGCCAGAUGGCAGGGCUGUCUCCCAGGGAUUUUCCCAGCAGUCUCUGUGGAAGGCUCUUCCCCUGGAAGUUACAAGUAGCAUGAUGUGGUGUGUGUGGGAGAGGCAGUGCCGAGGCUGAUGAAGAGCUGCCGACCGCCUGCAGGCCUAGAGGGGGCCAUUUCUGUGUUGCUGUGUAGUCGCAGGGUGAUCGAGGGAGAACGGAUGACAGAUGGGAGCUGGGCUUCCUCCCUGCCGUGGUCUGCUGGUUUGCCCAUCACUCAUACCCCCUGAUGGACUACCUCCUUCCACAAAGGGCCCAGAUGACUGUCCCUGACCGGGGCUUAUGGUUGCCUGAAGGCUCGAUUUCAAACCAAGGUCUCUGCUCACCUUGGAGCCUUCAAUGUCUCUGGCUGGGAGGAGAGGUGCUGACCAAGCAGCUGUUCAUCAUAACAAGGUGGGUUAUCAGCCCCUGUUUCUCAAGUAAUUCUUCCCCACCAUGAAGCUUUUAUGUUUAUAGUAAGUGUUUACUGUGACUGCUCCUUUGCCAUCAGGACAAUGAAACCUGCUCUCAUUUUUCUGGGAGGUAAAACAGAGGUAGAGAGAGUUGAAAUGCUUUGCCCAGAAGCCCUGCAAGCAGAAUACUGGAACUAAAAUUCCCAAGCCUGGACUCUCGAGUUUAUUGCUUACCUUCUUGGAGUCAUGUUUCUCUUCCCCCAUAGCUCAAUUAAAAACAAAAUAAAACAAAACAAAAAGCAAUGUUGCCUGAACAGAAAAGCACAGAGCCAGUUAGGAC
This 927-nucleotide long non-coding RNA is filed under the name Callithrix jacchus (white-tufted-ear marmoset). RNAcentral describes it as "lncRNA (ENSCJAG00000076746.1)". The record is from RNAcentral. Lineage: Eukaryota; Metazoa; Chordata; Mammalia; Primates; Cebidae.